AGAAAAAGAACUUUUAGGUCUUAUUUUUAUUAGAACAAGAACUUUUAGGUCUUAUUUUUAUUAGAACAAGAACUUUUAGGUCUUAUUUUUAUUAGAAUAUCAAGUUUUAGGUCUUAUUUUUGUCAGAAUAACAACUUUUAGGUCUUACUUUUAUUAGAACAAGAAUUUUUAGGUCUUAUUUUUAUCAGAACAAGAACUUUUAGGUCUCUCUUUUAUUAGAACAAGAACUUUCAGGGCGUAUUUUUAUCAGAAUAAUAAGUUUUAGGUCUUAUUUUUAUUAGAAAAAGAACUUUUAGGGCUUAUUUUUAUUAGAACAAGAACUUUUAGGGCUCAUUUUUAUUAGAAAAACAACUUUUAGGGCUUAUUUCUCUUAGAACAAGGACUUUUAGGGCUUAUUUUUAUUAGAAUAUCAAGUUUUAGGUCUUCUUUUUAUCAGAACAAGAACUUUUAGGGCUUAUUUUUAUCAGAAUAACAACUUUUAGGACUCAUUAGAACAACUUUUAGGUCUUAUUUCUAUUAGAACAAGAACUUUUAGGGCUUAUUUUUAUCAGAAGAACAACUUUUAGGUCUUACUUUUAUUAGAACAAGAAUUUUUGGGUCAUAUUUUUAUCAGAACAAGAACUUUUCGGUCUCUUUUUUAUUAGAACAAGAACUUUUAGGAAUUAUUUUUAUUGGAAAAACAACUUUUAGGUCUCAUUUUUAUCAGAACAAGAACUUCUAGGGCUCAUUUUUAUUAAAAAAACAACUUUUAGGGCUCAUUUUUAUUAGAAAAACAUCUUUUAGGGCUUAUUUCUCUUAGAA
This is a long non-coding RNA of Corapipo altera (White-ruffed manakin), 801 nucleotides long. RefSeq lists it as uncharacterized. The record is from RefSeq and is a predicted model, not a curated record. NCBI's taxonomy places the organism in Eukaryota, Metazoa, Chordata, Aves, Passeriformes, Pipridae. The transcript is spliced from 2 exons.